CUAACACCAUCCAAAAAAAGACUUGCAUGCCCUUAUCUCUUCACAUCCCAAGCUUAAAUUUCAUCCACAAAAGAGCCCCUACAGUGCAGCAUUUCAGCACCAAAUUGACAUGAAAACAGCAGACUCAAAACCAUCUCACUUUGCACCAUUUAACAACAAUAUAGCAACAGAGGAACCGGUCGAGCUGAUCUGGGAAAUGCCAACAAGAGAGCGGCUCUGCAGGUUAUGUUCCUGCAGCGGGCACCAAUGGAGGCAGUGGGAGUCCCCGGGCAGGCAAGCAGCAGGGAGGCGGGAUGAGGCAGAGCAGGGCCGAUUCGUGCCGGAGCUGAGGCGUUGGGUGGCCCAGCCAUGCGCCCGCGGGUGGGAUCGACAAGCGCCGGGCUUCCCAGCCACGCGCCUGCGGGCAGGAUCGACGGGACGCCGGGCUUCCAAGCCACGCGCCCAGGGAGGAGGUCGGCGAGCGGAGAGGCUGCGGGGUGAGUGUCGGAGAGGGUUAGGGUCAGGGGGGUGCAGGGAGGCGCCGGCGUGGGGUGCACGGAGACGCCGCCAUGGCUUUCUGUUG
RNAcentral lists this ribosomal RNA (562 nucleotides) under Triticum aestivum (bread wheat). RNAcentral's name for it is "partial small subunit ribosomal RNA". The record is from RNAcentral. Lineage: Eukaryota; Viridiplantae; Streptophyta; Magnoliopsida; Poales; Poaceae.